GCUUAUAUAGUUUUAAAUAAAAC
Molecule: transfer RNA, 23 nt
Filed under: Lissemys punctata (Indian flap-shelled turtle)
Lineage: Eukaryota; Metazoa; Chordata; Testudines; Trionychidae
Also listed under: 2 other names
Description: partial tRNA-His
Source: RNAcentral